UCCGGAUCCGACCAAUAAAUUUGGGCAUUCCGAAGAUCCACGUCGACGCCGCUCGCGUUCUUCAUAAACGGAAUGGGCACCGCUACGUCCACCGAAUAAUCGACGUCCAGGGACAAAACUCUGAUGUCUAUGCGAUUCAGAGAUUCGAGAUCGCUUCGAUGAAAUUCUCCCGGCAGCCCGAGAUCCGGGGGGAGAGCUGAACGAACCUGCAAACGGAUCCCGGUCGGACAGGCGCAUUUCAUGUGACGAGUUCUCCGGGCUACCAGACACAGGCCAAACGGAUGCGGCAAGUUUCCUUCAGAGGGCAAAAUACAUCAUGGGCUAUCAUCACUUCGAAAAGGUGUUUCCGGGGAAGGACAAGAAAAUGAGACUUUCGUGCCAUCUCACCCAUCAAGACUGUCCGGUUCUUGCCAUCGAGAUCCGAAUACUCGAUACUCUUCGUGCCACCGUCCGCCCAGUACAACCGCUUCUUAUCGAAAUCUAUCGCCAGCCCAUUCGGCCACGUCAAAUUCGCACCUAUGAGCACUCUUCGUUGACUACCGUCCAUCGAGGCUCUCUCAAUCUUCGGCGUUUUGCCCCAAUCGCUCCAAUACAUGCGGAAAACAUUUUUCACGGAGAAAAAAUUGGGCUCGUUUCUCAGCUGGUUGGAGUAUCGAAAAGAUAGAUUGCGAGGGGACCAACUCGAGUUCCUCUUUGGCGAACCCUUGCAGCAAUUCAUAGAGUUUUGCUUUAACGAAAAUUUGGAAAUGGUACCAGGCUGCGCUCCGUUAGAAACGAACUCACGAAAUAGUUGUCGCGAUUCAACAUUUGCAGAUUCCUCCAAUAAGCUAAAUUUACAACAACGUUUUGGGUUCGAGCUUAAAAAAUCAGUCAUCAAACAGCUUCAGUAAAAAGCCAAGAGUCGCUUCGCAACUUCGAAAGGAAAAAGCAGGGAAGUCAGCGAACGAGCUUACAUAUUGGAUCCACGACGAUGUCCCUCGGUUUGUCGAGUCCCUCGUACACCAAAAGUGUCCUCAUGGAGCCGUCGAGAUUGGAGCACUCGAUUCUGUUAGUUCCAGCGUCGGUCCAAUACAACUUUUUGCUGAUCCAGU
Molecule: long non-coding RNA, 1091 nt
Organism: Venturia canescens
Lineage: Eukaryota; Metazoa; Arthropoda; Insecta; Hymenoptera; Ichneumonidae
Exons: 4
Source: RefSeq, a predicted model, not a curated record